Molecule: non-coding RNA, 85 nt
Filed under: Kutzneria sp. 744
Lineage: Bacteria; Bacillati; Actinomycetota; Actinomycetes; Pseudonocardiales; Pseudonocardiaceae
Also listed under: 1 other name
Description: ZMP/ZTP riboswitch aptamer (pfl RNA motif)
Rfam family: ZMP/ZTP riboswitch aptamer (pfl RNA motif)
About the family: Previously known as pfl RNA.
Source: Rfam by way of RNAcentral
CGGGGAGGUCGUGACUGGCGAGGGUGGGCUACCACCGGGGAGCGACCGGCACGUGAUGCGAGCGUCGACCGCCUGGGCGCCUCCG